CCCAGGAAUGCUGCAGCCCCCUGGAAAUGAGGAGACUGGCCUGGAAAGCACCAGUAGGAAAUUCAGCAAAGGAUUUGACAGGCAGAGGAUUUACAUAACAUCAGCUGAUGCCUGUGAUUACGUAAAGACCCGACAUGUUUUAGUUUGUGAAUCUGUGUUUUAUCAAGAUGCAGAUUUUAGGGCUCUGCAGGGGCAAUAUCCGCAAAGAAUUCAGUAAAAGAAAGUGUGUUUGCCAUAAACACUCCUUUUUUUUUGGUUCAGAUGUGGCUUGUGGAGAUUCCCAUGCACGGCAACAAGUCAAUGGAAAGUCAGUUUGCUUGAUUUAAGUAUUGCUGUGCUCUCCUGGGAACAUAUUUAUGGCUAUUUCUGUCAGUGAACUUCCUCUGCCAAUUUAAUUCAGCCAAGCAGAAGAAGCAAAGGAACAGGAGAGCAAAGCAAGUUGGAUUCAAGGAUUGAAACCCGAGGCUGAGGUUCCUCCCUGCAGCUCACAGAAUUGCUGGCAGAAAAUUAAACAGGUAAGAGGUGGGGCUUUUGGGGUUGUGGAGGAGCUCCCAGAACAUCACAAGGACUUGUGUAUAAAAGCAUUUAAAAUAGUAAUAUUCUCCCCUUCUAGGAGUUUUGUUUUUUGGGUAAUUUUGUGUUAGAGAUGGAGUCGAACAGAGCAGUGAUGGGUCUCUAAACCUUUCACUGCUUGAGCCUCAAAUAUGGACACACAAAUCUCUCAGUUGUGGGUUUGUUGGUUUGUUUGGUUGGUUUUAAAAUUUUUUUUAAACCACCUGAAUUCUCCAAGAACCUCAGUCCUCCCAAGCCCUUUGGAAUCCAGGCCCUCUGUAGGUCUGUCCCACCUUUUGCUGUGGAAUGAGCCCAGUCCCGUGUGCCAGAGCCCCAUUUCAGUGCUUUAUCCCUUUGAGCAGCAUCACUACCAACUGACAGAGGUGGAGUCUCUUCACAGAGCAUUUCUGACACAUCCCCAGAGCCAGCCAUGCACAGCAGUAGGUGCUGGAGAUACCUCAGCUCUGCCUGGUUGUGUUAAAUAUGCACAACAGAGUGGAUUUCCAUCCCCUGCACAGGGGAGAUAAGCGACAGUGACCUGGGCAGCUCUGGGAAUUGUAUCCCAGUGAGCAACUCGGGGAGCAGUUGUUGGGUUUGUAUUUAUUCUGCAGUCAAAUUAUCCUCACUCUUCAAUCACUGCUGGAGACAGGCAUGAGAAAGCCCUCUGUACCAGCAAAUUUGUUUGAAGACAGGACUCUGACACACUCUGGGGACUUGUGUAAGGAUGGGACCCUUAAAAAAAAAUCCAGAGAGAGGAAAAUCAAGGCAGCAGCAACACUGCAGUGAGACACAGAGAGCAACAGAAGAUCUGUAGGAAAUAACAGCAAAGAACCAGAAAAACACCUGGAUUUUUGAUACAGGAUGAUAGUUGUGGUUCUCUUGUGCAGUUGCUGCAUUCUCUGCAGAGAGCAUUGAGCAGUGGGUGGACAGCUUUAACCCAGAACUACUAAUCUGGAUUAAUCAACAAGGUUUUCACUGCUCUAGGACAGAUCACCAGCCUGCUUGACUAUGGGUUUGAUUUCUUUUACCAGUGAGCAAGGCUCCAGUGCCCAGGAGACACUGUGAGCACCCGUGUUCAACUCCCAGGGCUCUGCAAACGCUGCCAAAACUUCUUGCAAGAAAACCACAACCACCAACCUGAACAGGAGCUGCUUUUAGUGCUGCAGAAUCUCUGUGCUUAGAUUACUGCUGGAAAUGGAACCUGUAAGGCUUUAUAGACUGGCCACAGCUUUGCACAGCAACUACGCAGAGAGGGGAAGGACAAAAGUGGGGAGGGAACUGGCACAGGUUGCCCAGAGAAGCUGUGGAUGCCCCAAGGCCAGGCUGGACGGGGCUUGGAGCCACCUGGGCUAGUGAGAGGUGACAGAGCAAGGGAACAAAGGCAGGUGAGAGCAGCCCUUACCUCGAGGAUGGAGGUCUGGACAUGCAGGACCUGCUCGUGGCCCUUGAGCUGCCUGACACAGACCUUGCAGCUGAGCUGGGUGGUGCCGGGGCUGUAGCGCUCCAGGGAGAAGGCACAGAGCAGGGGCCGGGCACUGCCCCGCCACACCCGCGAGAACGGCACCUCCUGCGGGGACAGGCACAGGCACAGGGCUCAGGGACACGGGACACAGAGCAGAGACAGCCAGGGCCCCUCCCUGCUGCUCUGCUGGACACCCCUUCCAGCCCCCAGCAGCACAAAGCCCACCCGCGACGGUUCCACCGAUAAACACCUUCCCUGAAGGCUGGGGUUUCAUCCAGUGAAACAAAUGAUGGGAGACUCAUCUAAAACUUGAAAAUAUUGCACUUCACCUCCUCCUUACCGAGAUCAGAACCCUGACUCUUCUCUGUGUCUCCCUGCCAUUUCCCUGUACCGCAGAAUCCAAAAAAAAGGAGCUUCCCAUCAAGACCUGCCCUGGCUCUGUCAGCCUCCCCUUCUCCACCUGAACCACCCCAACUGUGCCUUUCUCCAGCCCCAGCUGGAUCCUGGGCUGGGAGCAGUAGCAAGAUACUGACAAUGAUAAAGAAAACAUUAGCAAAACAAGUUACAAGUGGAGCAACCAUAAUUAGAUUUUUUUUCAGGGUAAUCAUCUCUGCUUUCAUCCCGAGUGGAAGAAUCACUCAGCUGAAAAGAAUCACACGAAACAAUACAGAGGGACAACGUGUGGUGAAGGAUGAGUGGUUCAAGUAUUCCAGCAAUGCUUUCAGUUUCAUUCUGCCUUUAUAAUUAAGUUCCCAGCAGAGACAGGGAAUGUAAAUCAUCUCCCGGCUCCAGACAGAGCCCGGGUCCUCCGAGGGACAGGAGAUGGGGGGAACACAGCUGCUUUCAGCCCCCAGAGCUGCCUGCCUGGUUUCUCAGCACACUGCUCACUGCCCCUGCCUGCUCCAGCACCCACCCAGUUCCCGAGGGUUCCCCCAGUUCCUCGGGAGCGGGGUGGGAAGGGAGCCAAGAGCUCGGCAGCUGCUCCUGCAGCAGGGCCAGGACAAACAAACAGUUUGGAGUCCGGAGGAAUCCUGGCACCACCUGCCAUCCACUGCUCUGCAGCCAGUUCUACAGCAGGAUUUAUCCACCCCCCCGAGCUGAGGGAUCACUGACACACCUCUCUCCUCAUCCCAUCCCGGGAUGGUGGCACUGGUGGAGCACAGUUCUGGCCCCUCUGCUCCUCCCAGGCAGCACAGGCAGCUGCCUGCACAGGGUGGGAUGUGGGAGAGAAGCCAGGGAGCUCUGCAAGGAGCUCCACGGGCACAAACAGAGCCUUUCAUCUCUCAAGAGCCUGGAACCAAACCAGAGCUGUCACCAGACACCUCACUGAGGGGGAAACACAAAGCCAGUGCAGGUUCUGCAGUUCCUCUUGGAGACAAUUAUUGUGUUCCUGAGCUGGCCAAGUCAUGCCAACUACACUCAGUUAUAAAAUGGGAAUAUUCCUCUGGUUCAGUAAGAGCCACUGUGGCAGCAGAGGUUUUGCACAGGCUUUUAUUUAACCCCAAGUCCCUGCUCUGAUCAGACUCUAAACAGCACUUUGAGGCUGAAUUCCAGUCUGUCACACACAUUUAUUCUUCAGGCCUGGACAAGGAUCAAGAGGCAAUAAAUUAAUCAAAGUGUGGAGCUGUGUUCCAUCCAUGAGGCAGAACUCAAUUGGUUGUAUUUAGAGAAAACUCCCAUGAUUUUCACUGCUUGGGCACGUCCUACUCCUGGUGGGCAUUUGCUGUAGUAGUGGGGCAUCCUAACACUGAGUGGCUUGGCUUUUAAAAUGCAGUUCAGUGAGUAGAACAAACAAAACACUUAAAAGCUGUUCUUCAUAGGAAGCUGAAAAUGAUUUGGUUUCCCUCACUUUUUAAGUUGAAGCAUAAAUUAUCCCUAUAUUCCUAAUGAGGUAAGACUUCAUCUGGCUGUGGAUCUGUGUUUAUAAGUUUCAGAGCCCAUUACACUCAUGUUUUGGAGAACAUGGCAACACAUUUAAAACAGUUUUUUUGCCAAAAUACUGAAUGAUAGAUAAUUGUCUCUCUGCUUCUGGGAAAAGGGAGAUUAUAUAGUCUAAUUGAGUUCUGUAUUUUAAGACCAGCCCACUCCAUGUGCCAGCACAUCACUUCUGAUUCCCAGUAACCCACAUCCUUAGAAAUCCUUCCUUUGUUUUGAUUUUCCCUUUCCGCUUUUCAACAGCCUCUUUAAUUAAUGGAGUGCAGAAAAAAUAAUUUGCAGCUCUUCAGUUCUAAUUCUUGGUAUCUGCACGCUGUGCUUUCAACUCAUGAUUAACAUUUAAAUGUCAUUUGCAGCCACGUGUUCGCAGUUGUAUCACAACUGGAAUAACAGGUAUCAGGAACAUCUUCAGGAGUGAUAAGCUUUAACAAGGGGAUUGGCCUUCUGACUCAUUUUUGUUGCAUGCCCAAGAGAUUUAAACCAAAACAGAAGGUACCACUGCCUUAUCUGGGUUCUGCCCACCCCAGUGCAAACCUGAAGAGGUAAAAUUGCCAAGUACCUGACAGGCAGUAAAUGGUUUAAUUCUCCAAAGGAAGGGAGGGAUAUCAAGGACUGAGAUCUGGAGGCUGCAGGUAUUUCCUUUAAAAUGCAGAAGUUUUGGUUCCUCCAGCAAUUGUCCUCCUUGGAGCCUUUCAUCUGAAACCACCUCCUGCAGGGGCAGAGGAGAGAAUUGUGUCAGCAUUAGGAAUAACCCCCAAAUUCACCUGCACAGAGGUGUCUGGGUCACCCACAGCACACCAGGAGUGUUCCCCUCGUGGGCCAGGGGAUGGGACUGGUGUUCAUACACCCCCAUCCCAGUUCAAGGCACUCAAAGGCACAGGGCCAUCCCAAGGCAGUGCCUGCAGCUGGAGCCAAGAGCAGCUGGGCUGGGAAACCUCUCCCAGGGCUUUCAGAGCACUCAAACACCCCCCCACCAGGAGAACACACCAGGUCAAACAAUUCAGCCUCAGCUCUCCUCUCUGGGGCCUCUUCAAAGGCACUGGACAAGACCCUGAGCAGUCUGAAGGGCAGACUUGGAGCAGGAGUUUGUGUUACAGUCCUCCAGAGGUCUGUUCCCAGCUACAUUUUUAUGUAAUUCUGUGAAUUUAAAGCAUAAUAGUAAAAAAAAAAAAUAAAAAAAAAUCACCCCUGCCUGUGCUUAAGCAAUGUUUACUCCUGUGCUGAGACAGUAAAAACACCAGUGAGGAAGGAAAGGUUGCACAAGGCUUUAUAAAAAUCAGCUGGCAAGCAGUCUCUCCAAAUUACCUUCUUUUUAUCCACAUAAAUUAUAUCAAAUCAAAUCCAUCGAAGGGGUUCAGUGCUUGUCAGUACCAAAGGUAUUGUCAGAAGGGCUCCUGGAAUCAUUGUGACCUUCUGAAAAUUCAAUGCCUGCUCGAGCUCUCUGCAACUGUACUAAUGGAUUCCUGUUAGAGAGCAAUUUUUACAGGAGUUCAGCUCCUUUUAACUCCUGAUGGUCGGGUUUAUAUGAAGGAGAGAAUUAGAAGGGAGGCUUAAUUUUUGAUUUCCAGCCACGAGGGGAGUGGAUUAUUUCAUGACUGCUUUCAAAACUCCUUGAAGGUGCUGGAUUUCCUUUUUAAUGUGCUGUGGUUCUGUAAAUCCUGCUCAAAAUCCAAAGGGGUUGGGAGAGUUUCCCAAGUCAGAGCUGCCCAGAGGGCAAAGGCAGCUGCUGCAAAAGCAAGGUGGGUUUUCACAGGGGGGCAAAGGCAAAAAUGAAGGGACUUGGUACCUCAUCCAGGACUGCACUGCAAAGGUUUCACUGUCAGACAGAACUUGGUGACCCCAACUCCAGUUCCUCACCCAAAGCUCUCAGUUUCUCCAUGUUCACACUAAUAUUUACAUGCUUUUAAGGGCUGUAUCAUUCUGUAAAUAUACACAGCUGUCUCACUAUCUACAAACACCCUGCUCUUGUUCCUCUGCAGGCAGAAAACUGGUAAUUAUUCUUCUAAUAAUUUUCUACAGACUCAUCAGGAAGAUACUGGUACCCACUAAUUGUGUAAGUGUUGUAAAGAGUAUAAUUACAAAGCCAUUGUAAGACUUUAACAAUCCUUCUGGUGGCUCUGCUUUUAUUAGAAGCACACAGACACCAGUGAGAGCCGUGUUUCCACUCUGAGACAGGCAAGGGAAGGAAACAUUCAUGUCACAACUGUCUUCAGUUCAGCUCCCUGAAGAAAACCAUUUUGUUAAAGCUUCUGAGUUUACUAAGGCUGCAAAAGCCAGUGAAUGUCACUGCUUUGUCCUGGAACACCAUUAAAAAAAUCCUGCUCCUUUCAAUUGCCUCCUGGGGAUUGGUCCUUUUUUUUUUUUCCUUUUUUUUUU
Pseudopipra pipra is the source of this 6325-nucleotide long non-coding RNA. RefSeq lists it as uncharacterized. NCBI's taxonomy places the organism in Eukaryota, Metazoa, Chordata, Aves, Passeriformes, Pipridae. The record is from RefSeq and is a predicted model, not a curated record. The transcript is spliced from 2 exons.